RNAcentral lists this ribosomal RNA (253 nucleotides) under uncultured bacterium. RNAcentral describes it as "partial 16S ribosomal RNA". It matches the Rfam family "Bacterial small subunit ribosomal RNA", at positions 524 to 776 of the family's 1533-position model. The record is from RNAcentral.
UACGUAGGGUGCAAGCGUUGUCCGGAAUUAUUGGGCCUAAAGCAUCCGUAGCCGGUUUUACAAGUCCCCCGUUAAAUCCAGCUGCUUAACAGAUGGGCUGCGGAGGAUACUAUAAGACUAGGAGGCAGGAGAGGCAAGCGGUACUCAGUGGGUAGGGGUAAAAUCCGUUGAUCCAUUGAAGACCACCAGUGGCGAAGGCGGCUUGCCAGAAUGCGCUCGACGGUGAGGGAUGAAAGCUGGGGGAGCAAGCCGG